UAAAUAACUUAAAAAUUAAACAUCCCAAAGGAUUUUUUUUUUUCUUCCCCCCCUCAGGCUUCUGAAUGCAUAUGAUGAACAUCAAACACUUCUAAAAGAACACUCAGAAGAACCAGAAGAAAAGAAAGCACACACAGAAGAUGUAUCAUCAGCACAGAUCAUUGAUGGGGAUUUACAGGCAAAUCAAGCUGCAUAUAAUUACAGUGCCUGGUAUCAGUACAAUUAUCAGAAUCCCUGGAAUUACGGACAGUAUUACCCUCCACCUCCAACCUGAAGGGAACACGUAAAUUUCAGAUGGCUUAUAUAAGACAAUGUGGAACUAUUUUUUUUGAAGGAUGUAAAA
RNAcentral lists this long non-coding RNA (343 nucleotides) under Rattus norvegicus (Norway rat). RNAcentral describes it as "long non-coding RNA NONRATT024335". Lineage: Eukaryota; Metazoa; Chordata; Mammalia; Rodentia; Muridae. The record is from RNAcentral.